GACGAACGCUGGCGGCGUGCUUAACACAUGCAAGUCGAGCGAUUCUCUUCGGAGAAGAGCGGCGGACGGGUGAGUAACGCGUGGGUAACCUGCCCUGUACACACGGAUAACAUACCGAAAGGUAUGCUAAUACGAGAUAAUAUGCUUUUAUCGCAUGGUAGAAGUAUCAAAGCUUUUGCGGUACAGGAUGGACCCGCGUCUGAUUAGCUAGUUGGUAAGGUAACGGCUUACCAAGGCGACGAUCAGUAGCCGACCUGAGAGGGUGAUCGGCCACAUUGGAACUGAGACACGGUCCAAACUCCUACGGGAGGCAGCAGUGGGGAAUAUUGCACAAUGGGCGAAAGCCUGAUGCAGCAACGCCGCGUGAGCGAUGAAGGCCUUCGGGUCGUAAAGCUCUGUCCUCAAGGAAGAUGAUGACGGUACUUGAGGAGGAAGCCCCGGCUAACUACGUGCCAGCCGCCGCAGUAA
RNAcentral lists this ribosomal RNA (468 nucleotides) under uncultured bacterium. Its description in RNAcentral is "partial 16S ribosomal RNA". It matches the Rfam family "Bacterial small subunit ribosomal RNA", at positions 28 to 523 of the family's 1533-position model. The record is from RNAcentral.